UUGGAGGGCAAGUUUGGUGCCAGCAGCCGCGGUAAUUCCAGCUUCAAUAGCGUAUAUUAAAGUUGUUGCAGUUAAAAAGCUUGUAGUUGAAUUUCGGGAUUAGCAGGUCGGUCGUGCCACUGGUACGUACUGGUCUUGCUGAUUCCUCCCUCUUGACGAGCCGUAGAUGCCAUUAAUUUGGUGUUGGGGGAAAUCAGGACGGUUACUUUGAAAAAAUUAAAGGGUUUAAAGCAGG
RNAcentral lists this ribosomal RNA (235 nucleotides) under uncultured Glomeraceae. RNAcentral's name for it is "partial 18S ribosomal RNA". It matches the Rfam family "Eukaryotic small subunit ribosomal RNA", at positions 548 to 784 of the family's 1831-position model. Lineage: Eukaryota; Fungi; Glomeromycota; Glomeromycetes; Glomerales; Glomeraceae. The record is from RNAcentral.